RNAcentral lists this ribosomal RNA (503 nucleotides) under uncultured bacterium. Its description in RNAcentral is "partial 16S ribosomal RNA". It matches the Rfam family "Bacterial small subunit ribosomal RNA", at positions 30 to 523 of the family's 1533-position model. The record is from RNAcentral.
AUUGAACGCUGGCGGCAGGCUUAACACAUGCAAGUCGAGCGGGGUGAUGGUGCUCGCACUAUCACUUAGCGGCGGACGGGUGAGUAAUGCUUAGGAAUCUGCCUAUUAGUGGGGGACAACAUCUCGAAAGGGAUGCUAAUACCGCAUACGUCCUACGGGAGAAAGCAGGGGAUCACUUGUGACCUUGCGCUAAUAGAUGAGCCUAAGUCGGAUUAGCUAGUUGGUGGGGUAAAGGCCUAACAAGGCGACGAUCUGUAGCGGGUCGGAGAGGAUGAUCCGCCACACUGGGACUGAGACACGGCCCAGACUCCUACGGGAGGCAGCAGUGGGGAAUAUUGGACAAUGGGGGGAACCCUGAUCCAGCCAUGCCGCGUGUGUGAAGAAGGCCUUAUGGUUGUAAAGCACUUUAAGCGAGGAGGAGGCUCUUUUGGUUAAUACCCAAGAUGAGUGGACGUUACUCGCAGAAUAAGCACCGGCUAACUCUGUGCCAGCAGCCGCCGUAA